This 298-nucleotide ribosomal RNA is filed under the name Pseudoalteromonas sp. S2039. RNAcentral's name for it is "partial 16S ribosomal RNA". It matches the Rfam family "Bacterial small subunit ribosomal RNA", at positions 311 to 600 of the family's 1533-position model. Lineage: Bacteria; Pseudomonadati; Pseudomonadota; Gammaproteobacteria; Alteromonadales; Pseudoalteromonadaceae. The record is from RNAcentral.
CGCUCGCAGUUACACCCGGUCCAGGCGCGGGCGGGAGUCAGCAGUGGGGAAGAGUGCACAAUGGGCGCAAGCCUGAUGCAGCCAUGCCGCCUCCUGAAGAAGGCCCCCCAAAAUCUAAACCCGUUUGAGUGAGCCAGGAAAGGUUAGUAGUUAAUACCUGCUAGCUGUGACGUUACUGACAGAAGAAGCACCGGCUAACUCCGUGCCAGCAGCCGCGGUAAUACGGAGGGUGCGAGCGUUAAUCGGAAUUACUGGGCGUAAAGCGUACGCAGGCGGUUUGUUAAGCGAGAUGUGAAAG